This 1212-nucleotide ribosomal RNA is filed under the name Triticum aestivum (bread wheat). Its description in RNAcentral is "partial small subunit ribosomal RNA". The record is from RNAcentral. Lineage: Eukaryota; Viridiplantae; Streptophyta; Magnoliopsida; Poales; Poaceae.
AUGGGGGAAAAUCAAGGACUCCAGCAAGUGCUUGAGAAGUUGGCACAACUUCUCACAGAGAAGACCGGAGGCAGAUCGCCCUCUGGUAGAGAGAUGAUACCUCAUGCUGAAACUGUGCAGAAGAUUGAAUUGAUGCCGAAUGAUAUUAAGUUAGAGGGGGUAAGAAAUUACUUAAGUUGGCCACGAAGGGCUUUGCUGAUCCUAAAGACAAAGGGGUUAGAGAGCUUUGUUGAAGGAGAAUCAACUGAGCCAGUGGGCAAGGCGAGUGCAGAAUGGAGGAAUUGGAAUACCACCAAUUCAUUGGUGGUGGCAUGGAUGUUAAAUUCCCUGUCUCCGAGCAUUGCUGCAACUGUUGAGACAAUCUCAAAUGCCGCUGAGGUAUGGAAAACUCUGUCGAAGCUAUACUCCGGGAAAGGGAAUGUGAUGUUGAUGGUGGAGACACAAGAGAGAGUUAGUGAUCUGAGACAGGGGGAGCACACUGUAAUGGAGUAUGUUGCUGAGUUGCAGCGAUUAUGGGCUGAUCUAGAUCACUUCGACCCUCUCGAGUUGCCACAUGCAGAUUGCAUAUCUACUGUUAAGAAGUGGAUUGAACGUAGGCGAGUGAUCCAAUUCCUCAAGGGUUUGAACUCAGAAUUUGAGGGAAGACGCGCUACUAUGUUCCACCAACCCACUCUCCCCACUUUGGAGGAAGCUAUAGCAGCAAUUGCACAAGAGGAGGUCAGACUGAAGGUGAUGAAGAACAAUAUAACAACUCCAUCUCGUCAUGCCUUCAUAGUAAGGAAUAGUGAGACCAGGGAGUGUUUCAACUGUGGUGAGACAGGGCACUUGAGUCGUGAUUGUCAUGCCCCGCACGGGGCUACCCGCGGAAGAGGGAGAGGAAAUGGCCGAGGUGGAACAAGAGGAGGUAGAGGUCGAGGAUAUAGGAUUGGUCACAAAGCAAAUGUGGCGGUCCAUGAAGAUGAAUCCUCUGACAAAGUUGAGUUCUCUGUAAAAGAGUUAGAAGAGUUGAGGAAGUUGAAAAGGAAGAUGGAGAAUGCGGGGAAUAAAGGCCAAGGAGACAUCACAUUUGGUGAUUUUGCUCACUUUGCUUAUGCCAAUGAAGGUGCAUCUAAACAUGUUGCGGGCACAUCGAAUGAGUUUGAGUCAUAUACUCAACAUCCACCCACACGAGAGGCGAACAGGGAGGAAGCUUGGGACCGCAACCAGACAUAA